RNAcentral lists this ribosomal RNA (420 nucleotides) under uncultured bacterium. RNAcentral's name for it is "bacterial SSU rRNA". It matches the Rfam family "Bacterial small subunit ribosomal RNA", at positions 355 to 776 of the family's 1533-position model. The record is from RNAcentral.
UAGGGAAUAUUGCGCAAUGGAGGGAACUCUGACGCAGCGACGCCGCGUGAGCGAUGAAGGUCUUCGGAUCGUAAAGCUCUGUCCUUGGGGAAGAAGGGAGCCGUAAGGCUUCUUGACGGUACCCAUGGAGGAAGCCCCGGCUAACUACGUGCCAGCAGCCGCGGUAAUACGUAGGGGGCAAGCGUUGUCCGGAAUUAUUGGGCGUAAAGGGUGCGUAGGCGGCCCUUUAAGUCAGAUGUGAAAGCCCACGGCUUAACCGUGGGACUGCAUUUGAAACUGGAGGGCUUGAGUGUCGGAGAGGGCAGUGGAAUUCCCAGUGUAGCGGUGGAAUGCGUAGAUAUUGGGAGGAACACCAGUGGCGAAGGCGACUGCCUGGACGAUAACUGACGCUGAGGCACGAAAGCUAGGGGAGCAAACAGG